AAUUCAUUACAGGCGAGUUAGACAUGGUAUACACCUCACUUAACAUGAAGGAAUAUAUCCAUGGUGGAGGAUUCAAGGAAGAUGUACCUAACUUGGAGGAAGUGAUUGUGCAAAAAGGAGUGGCUCACUUCAACAAUCAAGAAGCAGCAGAAGAAAUCAGUAAUCACAUUUACGAAUUCAUCAAAAAGUUUUGAGCUGAUCUUCCAAUGAAAUAAUAACCAUGCUGCUAAGUCUAUUUCGUGAUUCUUAUAAGUUUUGCAUGUGUUAGAUUUACUUGUACUCUAUCCACUUAAAUGUAAUAACAACACAACUGUGCCAUGAGAUAUUGGAUUAUAUCUUUCUGGUUCAAAACCAUGUUGAUAAUACCCUCUCAAUUUCUGAAUAAUUGUUGAUUUAGAAAAAAUAAAAAGUUCAUAUAUUGAGGAUUACUAUUUUAUAUUUUCAAGAGAAAUUUCAUUUAGUUUAUAUAUCUAAAACAAAUAUCUCCAAAAGUUAAUUCCGGUGUUUUAAAAUUAUUGUAAAAUAAUUAAAUGAAUCAUUUAUAAAUUAUAAGAAAUAGAAAGUAAUAUGUUGAUCGCUCUCAAAUUAUUAUUAUCUAAUUUUCAUUUAUGAUCAUAAAAACAAAUCAAUGGUCAAUAAAAAUAACAUAGUAAAAUUAUCCUUUUAUAUCUAUAAGUGGUUUUAUAAAAAAGAGGAAAAAAUCAUAGGUAACAAUGCAAUUACUACUUCAGUAAAAAAAAUAUAAAUUUUAUUAAUUAAAUUACGAAAUUAAAAAGUAAAAAGUCAUAAUAAAUAUAUUGAUAAUUAAUAGUCUUUCAAUAACUUUAUCCUUUAAAAGAAUUAAUUAAUUAAUUUUUCAUUAAUAUAUCUUAAUAUUCAAAAUAAACUUAUAAAAAAUAAAAGUAUUUCUCAAAUGUUAUUUAAGAACGAAUCUAAUAAUACUAAAUAGUAAAUUGUGUAAUUUUAAUACUUCAAAAACAACCUUUUUCCGAUGCUUUUGGAAAUUGUGACAUGUAUAUAUGUUGAAUAGACGCAUUUCCAAUUUUAUAUUGAAUAAUGACAUAAAUGUAAAAUAAACAGUUAAUACAGCUAAAGCUUUUUUUAUAUUAUUUUCGUCUCACAAUUCAUGAUUAGUUUUUAGAAAAAAAUGAUGUAAAAUAAAUAUUUUUAAUUUUGAAUAUAGUUUUUAUUAAAUUUUUUUUAAUUAUAUUCUCUAUUUGAAACGAAUUGCAUCUUACUCAUCUUUAAAAAAAACUUAUCACACAUUUAAAAUAAAAUAAUUAUUUAGUAAAAAAAAUAGUUAAUUAAUUGAGUGAAAAAAAAAAGAAAAACAGUUAAUUUUAUUUAUUAUCUUUAAAAUAAAAAAAAUCAACUGUAUUAAAUUAGAAUUUAAUUAUUUGUAUCCACGUUAUAAACUGUUUUUACUUUCAAAAUGACAAUGACACCCAUUUUUUAGAUGAGUUUUUAAAAUAUAAAACAAUUUACACCAGUUAUAUAUAAAACAAUAUUGCUGUUCACGGCAAUACAGUAAUUUGUGAAAAAAAAAAUGGUAAUACAGUAAUUAAUGACGACGAUGGUAAAAAUGGUAAAAAGUCAAGAAUGUCAAUAAGACAAAUCUGAUGCAGUCUGCUGUGGUCACAGCUCACAAGUGAAUAGUCCCCAAAUAUCGUUACACGUGUUUCUUUUAAUUACUCCUCAGUCCUCACUCACAAUCGAACUCUUACUCUUAGUUAAAAUCGCCCAUAUACGUGCUUCUUUUAAUUACUCCUCACUCACAAACAAACUUUUUUUUUUUUUUUUUUUUUUUUUUUUUUUUUAAGUUAUACCAUAUUUCAAGAUUUCAUUUGCAACAAUUGUAUUUGAAAUAUAUAAUCAUAAAUGGUGUAAGACAACUUUAAAAAAAUGAAAUUUAAACAAAUUUUAGACCAAAAUUCUGUUUGUGGACCAAAACUGAUGAUAAAUAAAAAGGGAGGACUACUUUCGCGAUUCAGCUAAAAUAGGGGAACAAAAGCUGCAAUUAAGCCAUUUAUUUAUAUUUUAGAAAUAUUGUCUUAUCUUUUUUUUUUUUUUAUAGGAUAAGUAUGUACAAGUUAUAUGUGAAAUAUUUGAGGUAUCUUAUUUAUUUUAUCUCUCUAUUUUCGAAAUACAUUUCUAGAUUGACCGAGAAGAAAAUUUGUAUAUUGACUUGAGUUUUUGUGCAUUAACAUUUUUAUGGUGAUAUUUAUAUUUUGGUUUAUCACAUUGUGGGAGUUCAACUUUUUUUUGCUAUACUCAAUUUCAUUAGUAGCUCCUUUGAUGGUAGUCUCUUUGUAGUUCUAAAAGAAUACUUUAUCUAAUGUUAUUUAAGAUUUUUGUACACGUAUUUAAAAAUACAAUAAGUAGAAGUAGAAGAAAGAGAGUUUAUAAUUUAAAUAGUUUGUAAUAAUCAUCUUAAUCAAGAUGGGAAGACCAAAAAAGAACUUAUAAUUUAAAUAGUUUAUAAUUUAUUAUUUUUUAAUUUUAUCUUUUAAAUAACUUUAAUGAAUAAUAUUUUAUAGUAAAUAAUUUUAAAUAGUUUAUUAAUUAUAUUUUAAAACAAAUAAACUAGCUAAAUAAAUACAAAAUAUAUUAGAUUAAUAAAUAAUAUAUUUAUUAUAAUUUUAAAUUAUUUAUAAAUAAUUUCAAAUUUUAAAUAACUAAUAUUUUAACAUAAUUAAUUAAUUUAUUUUCAUUUAAAAUAAAUAAAAUAGAUUAAUAAAUAAAAAAUGUAUUAGAUAGAUAAAUUUUAAAUUACUAAUUAAUUAAAUAUUAAUUAGUAAAAUUUAUUUAUACUUAAGAAUGUCAUUUUAUAUUUUUAAUCUAAUUAAACGAUUAAUUUUAUCAAAUACUUUAAUUAACUUAAUAUAUUUCAACUAAUUUUACCAAACAAAACUUUAGUCUAUUUUCAGAUUAACUUUUCAUUUCUAACAAAAUUCUUAAAUUGAUUGUUUCUAGAGAUUGUUUAGUAGUACUCGUUAAGAAAUAAUUUUGAUUUUUGAAGAAUAGAUUUAGUUCAUAUUUAUUAUGUUACAAUUUUCGAAGUAUGCAAAGGGUCUAGAUGUAAAAGAUAAUAAAGUAAUAAUAUAAGGGUAACUAAUAGAAUGAGAUGUAACGGAAACCAUCCAAAUCAAUUGCAUUAUUUUUUAACAUCCAAAUCAAUUGCAUUAUUUAAUUUUUAACAUCCAAACAAUGAAAUAGGAUCCCCACCCUUUUCACUUUAUACCACUUCAUUUUAUGAGCACAAAAAAGUCAAAGUAAAUGGUAACAGUUAAAUAGACAUGAUCUUGGGACAAUUACUUGGUAUUAUAUGUUUUGAGAUUUAAGUUAAAAAGUUUAAAAAUCAUGUAAAAAAACAAUUUGAUCUAAUUUUAUUCUAACAUGAUUUUUUUGUUCAAAUUUAAAUGUUAAAACUAAAAAUCAUAAACUUACAUUCACUACGAAAAUAAAUGUAUAUCAAGUAUCAACACCAACGCAAUUCAUUAUUCUUUCAUAUAUUAUUCAAGUAGAAAACUACUCUACAUAUAGAAUCAAUGGUUUUCCAACUUAGCACAUUCCAUCGUUCUCCACAUGGUUAAGCCACUAAACAUGGAUGGAUAAUAUAUUCAAACUAACAAAGUUCAUUUAUGGACAGAGCAAAGUCCAUUCAAAUUAUUGAGCAUCCAAGUAACAAAAUGAAACAUUAUUUUUUGAUCAAAUCAACUAUUAAACAUUCAAAUUAUUUUUAAACAAUUGUCAAUACAUUCCAACUAUUUUGACUCACUUAUCAUCCAUGUCCAAAAACUUAUUCAAUAAGAAUAAUGAGAAAAUACAAAAAGUUGAGGGAGUGGACCAAAACCCAACACAAAAGUCUAUUCCCUUUAACACUGAAUGAUUCUGCUAGGAUGAGUUUGGGAAAAACGCGGGUUGAUUUCGUCGAUAGAAAUAUCUUCUGAGCAAUGUCAAUCUGUCAACUGGUCUAAUGAGUUUUCUCCUUUUAUGUCUUAUUUAUCACCAUUGGCAUUCAUAGAGUUAUGUUGAUUUGUUGAAAAUAAUAGUCUAGACUACAUUCUAUCAGUUCUCACAACAUUGUUCUAUUUCUCAGUGAUUAUCUGCAUAUCAAUACAAUAAAAUAUAAGAGUUAGCUAAAUGAGUAUCAUUCUUGCAGCCAAAAUGUGAUGAAUAUAGCUAUAACAUGUUAAAGUAACCAAACAAAAGCUAUCUAUUUGAACAAAAAAGAAAUAUAUCAUGCUGAAUGAACUCACAUAGAAAGGUAUAUAAGUUCGUUUUCCAUUGACAAGUCCACUUGCAAAGACAGUGUAACCUGCCAUUGCUCUCCAUGAAUAGCACUUUGAGCAAGAAGUGUGCAGUAAACAUUGUCAGAAGCAUUACUUGGAACAGCUCGGAUCAUAUACGUUGGAUCUGCAACGCAGAAAAGAUACAUCAAUAUUUUUUCAAUUAUUGAUUGCUCCUUUGAGUAUCGAUGGACGCAUGCGUAUACACACACAAUAUUUUUUUUUUUUACAUAUUUUAAUUUUUACAAACUUAUAUCCUUGAGAGUUAUGUCCAUCUUCUUCCCUUUGUCAAAAUGAUCCUCGAAUAUCGAAAUGCUUAAAGUAAGCGGAAAAAAAUAUCUUCAAAAACAUUAGUCCAUCUAUUUGAGAUAUCCAUGGACCAACAUCUUGAAGAAGGUUGUUUCCAGAAGCAUCAUGUGUUGUCGACGGAUGGCAUGCUUUUGGAAAUAAGUUUUUGUCCAUCAACUUCAGCAAUCACAAUUACCAUGUGACCAUUUUCUUUGAAUCUUUUCUCUAUACAUUCAUAAAGUCCACCAGAACCUUCUAAGUAAAAAGGUGACUCUGGAAUCAAGUAACAAUCCACAUCUCUACUUGCAAGAGUAGCAUACAUUGCAAUAGAUCAUGCACAUUGAAUUAAUGCAUAUAUAAAAACAAUGCUUGAUUUGAUACAAAUACAAGUAACAUAAGAAUACAUGUGUAUUUUUAUGACAAAAUGCGUGAAAAAAGGUAACAUAAUGUAACUUAAAGAACUAUUACCACUAUAUCGACCCAUUAGCUUGACAACGCCUAUACCAUUUUUGACACUUUCAGCUUCAACGUGUGCUGCAUUUAUAACACGUUGAGCAUCCUCAACAACAGUGUCAAAUCCAAAGGACUUAUCAAUAAUCUAUUAAACAAGAAAGAAGAAUUAAACCAAUGAGUAGUAAUAAAUGGAUUCAAAUUAUACAAAUGUGCAAGAAAAAGGACUUACUGAGAUAUCAUUAUCUAUGGUUUUUGGGAUUCCUACAACUGAACAUUUGAGACCACGUCUUCUUACUUCCUGUAUUCAUAAUCAACACUAUAAAUAUCUUAUUUUAAAAUUGACAAGUUUGGCAGUCUCAUUUAAAUUAUAAAUACCUCGAAAAUUUGAGAUACACUCCUUCUAUCACAUCAAUAAAUAUUUUCUUUAAUAAAGACCUAAUUAACUCCAAACUACUAAAGACUAAAUUGUAAAACAAAUAUCUCCAAAAAGUAAUUUUAGUGUUUUAAAAUUCUUGUAAAAUAAUCAAAUGAAUCACUCAUAAAUUGUAAGAAAUAGAAAGUAAUAUGUUCAUGACUUUCAAGUUACCAUUAUCUACUUUUCAUUUAUGAUCACAAAAACAAAUCAAUGGUCAAUAAAAAUAACAUAGUAAAAUUAUCAUUUUAUAUCUAUAUUCAUCAUUUUCUUGAUUUGUGUUAAUUUCAUCAAUUACUGUGAGAUUUAUAUAGUAUCUUAUUAAUACUACAUGUGGGUUUAUACAUAAGAGGAAAAAAUCAUAGAUAACAAUGCAAUUAUUACUUAAGUCAAAAAAUAUAAAAUUUAAUUAAUUAAAUUCCGAAAUUAAAAAAAUUAAAAGUCAAAUUAAAUUUUGUCGAUAGUUAAUAUAUUUUAAUAAUUUUAUCCUAUAUAAUUAAUUAAUUUUUCUUUAAUACAUCUUAAUAUUCAAAGAUGAACUUAUAAAGAAAAAGUCUUAGAUAUUUAUAUUUAAGAAGGAAUCUAAUAGUACUAAAUAGUAAAUUAUGUAAUUUGAAUACUUCAAAAAUCACUUUUUUUGAAUGCUCUUGGAGGUUGAUAGUCAAAAAACCAAAGUCGACAUACAGAGUGUGGUGUGGUCAAAGACUCACAGAUUACAAGUGAAUUGCAUUUCUUUUAAUUACUCCUCACUCACAAACAAACUCUUACUCUUAGUUUAAUUUACAGUGCAAUAAAUUUACACAGUGUCUAUUAAAUUUUUUGUUGAUGGGUUUGGGUUGGAAUCGUGUUAUAUAUAUAUGUAUAUUUAUAUAUUUAUAUAUAGAUAUAUCAUUGGGUUCAAGUAAAGAAUUGGAAGGAAUCGAACACAGAACAAUUGAAGCUAAUGGAAUCAAAAUUCAUAUAGCAGAGAAAGGAAAAGAAGGUCCAGUUGUUUUAUUCCUUCACGGCUUCCCUGAAAGCUGGUACUCAUGGCGCCACCAGAUUGCGGCUCUAGGUUCACUCGGCUACAGAGCCGUGGCUCCAGAUCUACGUGGAUACGGUGACACCGAAGUUCCAAGUUCGAUAAGCAAUUAUACGAUAUUUGACUUAGUUGGUGAUAUCGUUGGUGUAAUCGACGCGCUUGGUGUGGAUAAAGUAUUUCUUGUGGGUCAUGAUUGGGGUGCUGUCAUUGGUUGGCAAGUCUGUUUGUUUCAUCCUGAAAGAGUAAAAGCUUACGUUGCUUUGAGUGUUCCCUAUGCGCCUAGAAAUCCCAUAUUGAAACCUGUUACUGCCAUGCGACUUUUGUAUGGGAAUGAUUUUUAUAUCUGCAGAUUCCAGGUUCACCUUCUUUUUAUUCAUAAUUAAUGUAAAACAAUGCAUCUAGCUUGAAAAUUGAUAGCUGAAGAAAUGGUAUUAAUUUCAUUAUUGUGCAUGUGACAGGAACCUGGGAAAGCAGAAGCUGAAUUUGCCAAAGUGGGGGCAGAACUGGUUAUUAGGGGCAUGCUCACAACUCGUACUCCUGGGCCACCAAUCUUACCCAAAGAUGGCUUUGGUUCUGAUCUAGAUCCUGCAAAUCCACCUCCACUCCCUUCAUGGCUCUCACAAGAAGAUCUGUCUUACUAUGUUUCUAAAUUUGAUAAAUCAGGAUUCACUGGUGCCCUUAACUACUAUAGAAAUAUCAACUUGUAAGUCUUUAUUACUUUUGAUACAUGAAUGUAAUAUUUGAAAUAUUGAGUAACUAAAAUUGGACAAUCUUAAUUCAAUUCUAUAUCUAUAUAAUGUACUAGUUGUUAAAUUAUAGUUUGAGACGGAGAUAAGAUAUUUUGGAGAACAAUUGUAAAAUUAGUAUUAAUAUCAGUUUAUUUAUUAAUAAUUUGUCUGUGGUUGUAAUUUUUACAGAAAUUGGAAGCUUACUGCAUCAUGGACUGGAGCAAGAGUGAAAGUACCUGUGAAAUUCAUCACAGGUGAUUUGGAUUUAGUUUACCAUUUGUUGGGUACUAAGCUAUAUAUUAAGAGUGGUGCUUUCAAGCUAUUUGUGCCAAAUUUGGAAGAAGUGGUUAUUCAAAAAGGUGUUGCUCACUUCAUCAACCAAGAAGUUGCUGACAAUGUCACCAAUCACAUUUAUGAAUUUAUCAAGAAGUUCUGAUUUUGUCACUUGUUGUUUACUUAAAUAUCGCCUUCUAAAUAAUAAUUAAGCCGCAAUUUGGAUACGAUAAGCAUGUACAAGUAUUCGUGAAUUAUCUCCGAAAUAUUAAAUAAAUUAAUUUAAAAAAAAGAAUUGAUAUUUUUAAAUCAUAUAUCUGCAUGUAAGUAUUCGUGAAAUAUUAUAUUCGAUAUGAAUACGUCUCUAUGUUUAUAGCCACUAUCCCUUUUGUUUAAGUUCAAUCUAUUUAAAGUACCUUUUUUAUCUCUUUAUUUUCAAAUACAUUCCUAAAUAAAGGUGCAAACACGAAAAUGGGGGUUAAAUUUUGUUUUCCGAAGUUGAUAACUUUUUGAUAAUUUCUAAAUAAAUAAAAACAAAAAACUAGUUUGGUUUUGGUGACUUACUUAGAUAAGAAACAAUCAGAUUCAUAAAUAAUUUGACACGUAGAUUUAUCCUGAUUCACCACUAACUUGGCUACCAGUUCCCUCUUUUAGAAGGUUUUAAUCCACUAAUUCAAAAAAACUUUGAAUUACAAAGCAUCUGAUAUUCUACAAAAACUUUGAAUUCAAAUGCCUAAAAUUCAUCAACGAAAAAUAUAAUUUUGUGUUUGACUAUUCAUAUUAUGGAUAGAUGUUAAUAUGGAUAAAAUAUGAAAUACUAAUUAAAGUUAGAAAGAAUGAAAUUAUGUUCAACUAUCGAUGUUUUGGAUAGAAGCUGAAAUGUCAAUGAGACUAAAAAUAAUGAAUUUUUUUGUUUUUUUUUUAAUAGCAUAAAAAUAAGGAAUUUUGCUUAAUCAUCUAUUUUUUUAUGGAUAUAAAGCUAGAAUGUCAAUUCAGACUACAAUAAAUAAUAAAUUUUGUAGAAUGACAAUUAAAGCUAAAACAUGAAAUGAAUUUUGUAGAAUGUCAAUUAAGAAUAAAAGAAUAAUGAAUUUUGUAAAUUGUCAAUGAGGCUAAUUAUAAAGAAAGAAGAAAUAUAUCAUCAAAUUUUGUGUUCCUAAAAAACUUUGAUCAUAAAACUCAAUCAACAAUCUCGCAUUGUUCAAUCUUUUGUCUUCAGUAUUUGUUUCUAUUAGAUUUUAAUUUAUAGGUUGAAGAUUCACUUGAAAUUAUCUCUUUCAUAUUUGGAUUAGUAGGUGAUGACUUUGAUUUUUAUUGUGUCAAGACUCUAAUUCAUUAAUAAAGGUACUGAGUUUCAAAGAAAUUAUUAUAACUGCACACAUCUUAAUUCUACAUUCAGCGUUGAGGGGACACAACUUGCUUAAAAACACCAUUAUCAACAUCUUAAUUCAAAUAUGGAAGUGAAUCUUCAACUUACACAUCAAAAUCUACUAAAAAUAAAUACGAAAUAUUGUGAUUGAGCAAUGCCAGAUUGUUGAUUGAGUUUUUACUAGAGGUGGGCAAAGUUCAGUUAUGAACUAGAAUCGUUUGAAAAUUGAACCGAAUUGGUUUUCAGUUUAAAAAAACCGAACUGAACUGAUUUUUAGUAUAAAAACCGAACCAAACUGGUUUAUAAAUUGGUACACCAGUUUAUUAUUUAAACCGAACCAAAUCGGUUUAACUUAAUUUUUUAUUUAUAUAGGUCAAAUUUUACAUAAAUACCCCUAGUUAUUUCUAUAAAAAAAAUUCGAUUCAAGUUUUUUGAAAUAAAAACCGAUUCGGUUUAGUUCUAGUUUUAAAAAAUCAGUUCGAAAACAGUUCGGUUCUCAAUUUUUAUAAACCAGUUCAGUUCAAAAACAGUUCGGUUCAGUUCAAUUCUGCAGUUUAGUUUAAUUUUUGAUUUUUUUGAACACCCCUAGUUUUUACAUCAAGAUUAGUCAAAACUUUUCAAAAACGUCAAAAAUAAAAAAUUAGUAAUCAUUUUUUAUAGUUAGCCUCAUUGUCAUUUUACAAAAUUCUUUCUUUUAGUGCAUUCUACAAAAUUGAUUAUUUCUUGUAAACCUAAUUGAUAUUUUAAAAAGUUCAUUUUUUUAUGCAUUCUUAAAACAAAAUGACCCCAAAAGUCCAACACAAAAAGUGCAAAAUAUUAAAGAGAAAAAAAAAACGCAAGAAAAAAAGAGUGAAGAUCCAUUUCAUUUUAUAAGAGAAAUUUUGAUAUUAAAUUUAAUCCGUGAAACAAUAAACACAUGUUUUAGUUAAAAAAAAUUUAAACCAGCACAACUUAUUAUUAAUUGUCACUUUUCAUAGAGAAUUGAUUAUUUUCUUCUUCUUAUAAAUACUCUAUUUUAAAUAUAAUUUUAUUUAUGUUAUAUCAAAUGUAAAUUAAAAUAUAUAUCUCAAUUAAUAUUUAAACUUAAUUGUUGUAAGAAUUUAAUCUCUUCUAUCACAUCAAUAAAUAUUUUCUUUAAUAAAGAUUUUUUUUUAACUGUUGUAAAUGACCUAAUUCACUCCAAACUAUUACAGACUAAAUUACUUUUAGGGAGAUUAAAUAUAUUUAGAAUGUCAUUUUUGUGUCAUGACUAAAAUGAAUUUUAAGUGAAAAGAUGAAACAUAGAUAGAGAAAAGCGACAUACCAAAAUAUUAGGAAUAUAAUGAGAGAAAUGAGGAACAUCUUGAAGAAUAUAAUCUUUUACUUUCUUCAAUUUCACACUUCCACCCUUGUUUGAAUGUCGAGUAUUCCAAUUAGAAGGAUAUCCUUUAAUUUCAAAGCACUUUGCUUUGCUAUGACCAAUUUUUCCACACUGUUCACAUUUCAAUUUCACAUUACUCUUAAUUUCCUUCUCCUCUAUAAAUAGUUUAUUUUCCCUUAUGAUGUGAUUAAUACUCCUUCUAGAGAUAAUAUAUUUCUAUUUAGAAUUAUUGAUUUUGAAGCAGCACCACAACUACACUCUGGUAUUGGUAUGGCUGUGUGGCACACCAGGAGCGGGACCAAAAUGUUUCACUGCUUCCCUAGCAUUCUUUGGGCCUCUUAGAAGAACCUGAUUUCAACAAAUAGUUUAUUAAAUUUGGAUUACUAAGCUUAUUAAGCACCUAACCAUAACAAAGGUUAUUCCAUCACAAGUCACACAUAUAUACUAUAAAUCAAGAAAUUAUUCUUUAGACAAGGCUGACACUAUUUAACAGGAAAAACCAAGCUGCCAACAAAGUUGGAUUAUGAACUUGGGACUAUUUCAGUAGAUUGACAGCAAAAACAAAUCUCCAAAGUGCAAUAGAAAGAUAGCACUAAUAACAAUGAAAGCAACAGAAGGAAAUAUUCAUAUAUGAUUCAUACCGUGUUCUGCCCAAGGGGAGCCCUGAGAGCAAGUUGAUCAAAUGUUAACCAUUCACCACCAGCCUUUUCUAUUCUUGCACGUGCUGUUCCUGUCACAAGAAAUCAAUUUGGUUCAAAAAGAUAUGGUUAUGUUUUUUGUAAAUCUAAUUUUGGUUCAGGUCGAAAAUAACUGAUGCACCAAAUGUUUAUACCUGUUUGAUUUGGGACGAACCAUUAAGUUUGGUUUGAAUUAAUCGAGCUGUUAGUAACGAUUUAGUUCGGUUUUCUUUCUAAACUGAUCCAUGGACGGUUCUAGUGUUUGAUGGUGGGUUAUGAAGCUCCAAUAAAAUAUUUGGAAUCAGAAUUAUUUGUUUGUGAAAUGAAGUGAGAAAUUACUGUAAUGGUAGUUCUAAAUAUCUUAAUUGUUUUUUUAUCCGUGUGACAGGAACCUGGCAAGAUGGAAGCUCAGACGGCUGAGUUUGGCACUGCAUAUGUGUUGAAAAAUAUCCUAACAACUCGGAAAACUGGUCCUCCAAUACUUCCCAAGGGAGAGUAUGGAACUGGAUUUAAUCCAGAUACCCCUGACACCUUGCCCUCUUGGCUCACAGAAGCUGAUCUUGCUUAUUUUGUCUCCAAAUUUGAGAAAACGGGCUUCACUGGAGGAUUGAACUACUAUAGAAACUUGAACUUGUAAUUUUUUGUUCCUCUAUGCUCUUGAAUAUUGUUUUUCAAUAUAUAACAUUAAUAACACUUAAGAUUGAAAACGUAUCAUGUGUCUGACAUUGGCAAGACACCAACAUAUUUAAUUACUUUUAUUUUCUCAACUAAUUAUUGUUGGUGCCAACAUGCAUCAAUGCCAUGUCUGGUGUAAAUAUUUGUGCUAGCAUGAAAAGUGUCCCAAUUCUAAUGACAGAUAAAUUAUUGCUUAUAUUGCUGAAAUUGGGAGCUGAUGGCACCACGGCAUGGAGCAAAAAUCUAUGUGCCUGUGAAAUUCAUUACAGGCGAGUUAGACAUGGUAUACACCUCACUUAACAUGAAGGAAUAUAUCCAUGGUGGAGGAUUCAAGGAAGAUGUACCUAAUUUGGAGGAAGUGAUUGUGCAAAAAGGAGUGGCUCACUUCAACAAUCAA
Molecule: long non-coding RNA, 11942 nt
Filed under: Cicer arietinum (chickpea)
Lineage: Eukaryota; Viridiplantae; Streptophyta; Magnoliopsida; Fabales; Fabaceae
Description: long non-coding RNA (CARI_LNC000881)
Source: RNAcentral